Molecule: long non-coding RNA, 174 nt
Organism: Ixodes scapularis (black-legged tick)
Lineage: Eukaryota; Metazoa; Arthropoda; Arachnida; Ixodida; Ixodidae
Exons: 2
Source: RefSeq, a predicted model, not a curated record
AGCAAACAAUCCAGGAGACAUCCCUUGGCUUGGCCUGGCUUGACUCGACCUGGCGGUGUGCUCGGCAUGGACCUCGGCUCUACAGACGCCUCGCGCUAUCCACCGGCUGUCAAUCAUGCGGUGACUUGGAGACUCAAGUGGAACCUGCGUACCCUGCAGGACUUGAAGAGGAAG